Molecule: long non-coding RNA, 103 nt
Organism: Thalassophryne amazonica
Lineage: Eukaryota; Metazoa; Chordata; Actinopteri; Batrachoidiformes; Batrachoididae
Exons: 3
Source: RefSeq, a predicted model, not a curated record
CAUGUGGUUAUACCGGCUAUUGAUGAAUGACCUUUCUUGAUACAUUGCCAUCUGAGGGAUCUGAGAUGAUGGGUGUUCAGCUUCGGAUGCAUCCUUCAGCUUU